GAGAGCUAUGUCUGUGGCUCCAUUGAGCCCUUUAAGAAGCUGGAGUACACCAAGAACGUGAACCCCAAUUGGUCAGUGAACGUCAAGACCACCUCAGCCUCCCGGGCAGUGUCUUCUCUGGCGACUGCCAAGGGGGGACCUUCGGAGGUUCGGGAGAAUAAGGAUUUCAUUCGACCCAAGCUGGUCACCAUCAUCAGAAGUGGGGUGAAGCCACGAAAGGCUGUCAGAAUCCUGUUGAACAAGAAGACGGCUCAUUCCUUCGAGCAGGUUCUCACUGACAUUACCGAUGCUAUCAAGCUGGACUCGGGUGUGGUGAAGCGUCUGUACACCCUGGAUGGGAAGCAGGU
RNAcentral lists this long non-coding RNA (347 nucleotides) under Rattus norvegicus (Norway rat). RNAcentral's name for it is "long non-coding RNA NONRATT015292". The record is from RNAcentral. Lineage: Eukaryota; Metazoa; Chordata; Mammalia; Rodentia; Muridae.